UACAGAGGAUGCAAGCGUUAUCCGGAAUGAUUGGGCGUAAAGCGUCUGUAGGUGGCUUUUUAAGUCCGCCGUCAAAUCCCAGGGCUCAACUCUGGACAGGCGGUGGAAACUACCAAGCUGGAGUACGGUAGGGGCAGAGGGAAUUUCCGGUGGAGCGGUGAAAUGCGUAGAUAUCGUCUGGAACGCCAAAGGUGAAAACAGCUCGCUGGGGUUGUGCUGACGCUGAGACACGAAAGCCAGGGGAGCGAACGGG
This 253-nucleotide ribosomal RNA is filed under the name uncultured bacterium. RNAcentral's name for it is "partial 16S ribosomal RNA". It matches the Rfam family "Bacterial small subunit ribosomal RNA", at positions 524 to 776 of the family's 1533-position model. The record is from RNAcentral.